RNAcentral lists this ribosomal RNA (1437 nucleotides) under uncultured organism. RNAcentral describes it as "SSU rRNA". It matches the Rfam family "Bacterial small subunit ribosomal RNA". The record is from RNAcentral.
UCAUGAUGAACGCUAGCUACAGGCUUAACACAUGCAAGUCGAGGGGUAGCAUGGUCUUAGCUUGCUAAGGCCGAUGGCGACCGGCGCACGGGUGAGUAACGCGUAUCCAACCUGCCUUACACUCUUGGACAGCCUUCUGAAAGGGAGAUUAAUACAAGAUGUUAUCAUGAGUAAGCAUUUUCACAUGAUUAAAGGUUUACCGGUGUAAGAUGGGGAUGCGUUCCAUUAGAUAGUAGGCGGGGUAACGGCCCACCUAGUCUUCGAUGGAUAGGGGUUCUGAGAGGAAGGUCCCCCACAUUGGAACUGAGACACGGUCCAAACUCCUACGGGAGGCAGCAGUGAGGAAUAUUGGUCAAUGGACGAGAGUCUGAACCAGCCAAGUAGCGUGAAGGAUGAAGGUUCUAUGGAUUGUAAACUUCUUUUAUACGGGAAUAAACGGAUCCACGUGUGGAUUUUUGCAUGUACCGUAUGAAUAAGGAUCGGCUAACUCCGUGCCAGCAGCCGCGGUAAUACGGAGGAUCCGAGCGUUAUCCGGAUUUAUUGGGUUUAAAGGGAGCGUAGAUGGGUUGUUAAGUCAGUUGUGAAAGUUUGCGGCUCAACCGUAAAAUUGCAAUUGAUACUGGCAGUCUUGAGUACAGUUGAGGUAGGCGGAAUUCGUGGUGUAGCGGUGAAAUGCUUAGAUAUCACGAAGAACUCCGAUUGCGAAGGCAGCUUACUAACCUGUAACUGACAUUGAUGCUCGAAAGUGUGGGUAUCAAACAGGAUUAGAUACCCUGGUAGUCCACACGGUAAACGAUGAAUACUCGCUGUAGGCGAUAUACAGUCUGCGGCCAAGCGAAAGCAUUAAGUAUUCCACCUGGGGAGUACGCCGGCAACGGUGAAACUCAAAGGAAUUGACGGGGGCCCGCACAAGCGGAGGAACAUGUGGUUUAAUUCGAUGAUACGCGAGGAACCUUACCCGGGCUUAAAUUGCGACCGAAUAUGGCGGAAACGCUAUAGCUAGCAAUAGCGGUUGUGAAGGUGCUGCAUGGUUGUCGUCAGCUCGUGCCGCGAGGUGUCGGCUUAAGUGCCAUAACGAGCGCAACCCUUGCCGAUAGUUACUAACAGGUCAUGCUGAGGACUCUGUCGGGACUGCCAUCGUAAGAUGUGAGGAAGGUGGGGAUGACGUCAAAUCAGCACGGCCCUUACGUCCGGGGCUACACACGUGUUACAAUGGGGGGUACAGAGGGCUGCUACCACGCAAGUGGAUGCCAAUCCCAAAAACCUCUCUCAGUUCGGAUUGAAGUCUGCAACCCGACUUCAUGAAGCUGGAUUCGCUAGUAAUCGCGCAUCAGCCACGGCGCGGUGAAUACGUUCCCGGGCCUUGUACACACCGCCCGUCAAGCCAUGGGAGCCGGGGGUACCUGAAGUGCGUAACCGCAAGGAGCGCCCUAGGGU